UAAAAAAAAGCCAAACAAGAAUGUGUCCUCAGUACACGAAUGCCCCACUCGCACUUUCAUUUUCUAUGUUCAGUGGACCGUGACAUUGGGAUAAAAACUCUAAUUUGACAUUAAAAUUAGAAAGAUCAUAUCAUAGGGAACAUGUGUACUAAGUUUGAAGUUGAUUGGACUUCAACUUCAUCAAAAACUACCUUGACCAAAAACUUUAACCUGAAGCGGGAUAGACGGACGAACGGACGCACAGACCAGAAAACAUAAUGCCCUUCUACUAUCGUAGAUGAGGCAUAAAAAAGUACGAAGUUGAAGAGCGUUGAGGACCAAAAUUCCUAAAAGUUUUGCCAAAUACAGCUAAGGUAAUCUAUGCUUAAAGGAGGGACGAAAGAUGCCAAAGGGACAGUCAAACUCAUAAAUAGAAAAUAAACUGACAACGCCAUGGCUAAAAAUAAAAAAGACAAGCAGGCAAAUAACAUGAAUAAUAGUACAC
RNAcentral lists this long non-coding RNA (484 nucleotides) under Mytilus galloprovincialis (Mediterranean mussel). Lineage: Eukaryota; Metazoa; Mollusca; Bivalvia; Mytilida; Mytilidae. The record is from RNAcentral.